CACCGCCGAUGUCAUCAAUCCACUACAAUGGAUCAAGAGUUAGACCAUAAACUUGUAUAUAUAAUUCAAUGAUUUUCACUCCUUUUUAGAGAAACUAAUACCUUUAAGCUUUAAGGCCAUAUUUACCAACAAUAUCUUCUUACACAAUAUUACACAACUAGAAACAAAUUAUUCAGGAAAACCUGAUACAUUAAAUAUUGCAAAGCGCAGCUAACAAUUUUUAGGAAUUUGAAGUAGAGAAGUUCAUUAUACUACCUGCUAACUCAAAAAAAUCUUACUUCUAUUGCCCAUGUAAAUAAAAACAAAUCAUUGAUAUGAAUUUAAUAAGCAAUAUUAAAAGCUUUUGAUGUCUAAUCACAGUCUUUAUUGGUCUUAAGGUAUGCACUACAUUGAUAUGUGUGUAUAUAAUUGCUGUCAAUCACUGAACAUGGUGAAAUAUAGUCAAAGCAGGUAAUUGUGCAGUAGUCAAAGACAAUUUUGAAAUAAUAUAUGAUCUUUUCCAAAAGUGGCAACAUAAUUUCAGGUUUAACACUGUUCCAUUGGAAUUUGGAAGUAGGGAUGAAAAGGGGAAAUUUUAAGUAUCAAGUUCAUGUACUGAAACUAAGUGCCACUAAAGUCACUUUUCCUUCUCAAGCUAUAGGGACAGCAGUAAAUUACCAAUGGUAAUAGAAAGCAAUUUGGAUGAUGAAACAAACAAACAUUCAUUAAAGUUGAAUCAUCUUGUUUUUCUCCUAUUUCCAACACUGAACUGCUCAUUAUCAAAAUCUGCCAUAAUUUCAAUUAUAACCAUGCAUGUUCAUGCAUACACUUCUCCCAUUUGAAUUUAAAUAGAAGGAAUUUAGUAGGUAAAUAACAAUAAAAUUGCAAAAUCUAUUUGCAAGAGAACAGCCAAGUCUAAACAGAUGCAAAUCCUUUCAGACUCAAAACAAAAGAGUCACAAACCUUAGAAAUUGACUUGUCAUAAGU
RNAcentral lists this unclassified non-coding RNA (966 nucleotides) under Hevea brasiliensis (rubber tree). Lineage: Eukaryota; Viridiplantae; Streptophyta; Magnoliopsida; Malpighiales; Euphorbiaceae. The record is from RNAcentral.